CUUUCUACUUUCACUGUGAAAAAAAUGAGUGUAUAUUUUCAAACACAGAUACUAAUUAAUUCUAAAAUUGCGUUUUGUUUAGAAAAAGAUAAAAAGUGAUUUUUGCAUGUACACUUCCCCUUUAAACAGUUGACUAGGAACACAAAUGGCCAGAGUUCAACGUGGAUUCAAGAUCAAUUUGGUCAUUUGUAUCCUUGAACCUUUUUCAAUCAGUAAAUUAUUACGCAGCUGAAAAAAAUACAUGUAUUGGGAUUAAGGAUUUCUGUAUUUUAAGGUAAUCAAGUUUCAUAACAUUUAGUCAAAUGAAACAAUAGGCAUGAUAAGGAAUCCUCAAGAUUUGUCUGAGGAUGCAAGACAAUUCCGUAACAAUUCACUUCUGUUACCAGGUGCUUUUGGCUUUCAAGAUCCAAGUUUGAACUGCAAGAUCUAUAAAGAAUGUCUGGAAACUACCGGUAAUGUUUAUGAGAUCUUGAAGGAAUAUCCCUUACCCUCAAACCUCCAUCGUUAUGCAGCUGUAGGUCAGGUUCUUUGUGAUGUAGGGCAGGUUCUUUGUGAUGCAGCUGUAGGUCAGGUUCUUUGUGAUGCAGCUGUAGGUCAGGUUCUUUGUGAUGCAGCUGUAGGUCAGGUUCUUUGUGAUGCAGUGUAGUUCAGGUUCUUCCAAACUUACAUGCACCUUCUCUUUCAGUGAAUCAGUCAUAGUGUAGAUUGAGAAACACAAGCUGGUCUUAGUAGGAGGUGAUCUCGGUCUUGUACCUGACUACACUGUUUUCUUCAAUCUCAGAUGUUGCAGUGUUUUUGAAAGGCAAUGUGGUAGGAAACAUAUCAUUACGCCAGAUACAUGUAGGUUGUUUAUGAUGUUUUAUUUUAUCAUUAUGGGGUCAAUAUGCUGAGAAAAGGGGGACAAGAGGGGGAGACUGCAGAAACCAAUAAAAAUUGUCAUGGUUGAUGAGUGGUUAGGUAGAAUCCCCGAAAUUAAAGAUGUAAUGAAAAAACUUUAAAAAUAAUCCAAUUUUUAAACAGUAAUGUUCAGUGAGUAUUUUUAGUUAUUUGUCAUGUUGACCUUUCCAAACUGUAGGGUAGUUUCAUCUGCAAAACAGGAAAAGAAUGGUCUGACCUUUUGCCUAAGAAUUGCAUACUUUCAUAGAAGUACAUUUAAGUCUUAUUUUUAUUCAUAAUUACAUUCUACACUUUGUAAAUAUACUAUCACUAAACAUUGCCACACCACCAUGAUCACAGAACUUGGUUGAUGCAUGUCAUUGUAUCCCUAUUGCAUGGAGAGAUGCUCAUGUUAUCAAUCACUGGAUUGCCUGGUCCAGACUCGAGUAUUUUCAGACCGCCACCUAUAGCUGGAAUACUGCUGAGUGAGGCGUUCAACAACAAACAUACAUCACAGAAUAUUUACCUCUUGUGUUCUUUGUUCUUUUUGCAUUAACCAAAGACGACGAUCUACCUUACUAUGUUCUGUAGCAACUGACCCGAUUGAGGUGUUUAAGUUUUGUUGGGAGAAUAAUACAGUGCCCUUUUGGUGUUUGCUUUCCAUAUCCAUGUGCAAGAGAAUAUGCUCACUAUUUGGUUUGCCAGCCAUGAAGAGAGAAACCUUUCCGACAGUUGAGACCAUGAGUGCUGAUGGAAAAAAAUUAGGGAACUUAUAAAAUAGUUGCAGAAGACAGUUCUGCUCUUUCAGAUAGGGAUGAUUCGUAUCAAGAAAACAAGACAUUGUAAUGUGUGCAUAUGCACACUCUUUGUGUGUUGGUGCAAUGUAACAGUGUGCAUAUGGAAUGCACCGUCUUCGUGUGUUGGUGCAAUGAGCCAUUGUGUAUAUGCACUGUCUUCAUGUGUUGGUGCAGUGAGCCAGUGUGUAUAUGUACUGUCUUUGUGUGUUGGUGCAAUGUAAGUGUGUAUAUGCACUGUCUUCAUGUGUUGCUGCAGUGAGCCAGUGUGUAUAUGUACUGUCUUCAUGUGUUGUGCAGUGAGCCAGUGUGUAUAUGCACUGUCUUCAUGUGUUGCUGCAGUGAGCCAGUGUGUAUAUGCAUUGUCUUCAUGUGUUGUGCAGUGAGCCAGUGUGUAUAUGCACUGUCUUGUGUGUUGGUGCAGUGAGCCAGUGUGUAUAUGCACUGUCUUCAUGUGUUGGUGCAGUGAGCCAGUGUGUAUAUGCACUGUCUACAUGUGUUGGUGCAGUGAGCCAGUGUGUAUAUGCACUGUCUUCAUGUGUUGGUGCAGUGAGCCAGUGUGUAUAUGCACUGUCUUCAUGUGUUGGUGCAGUGAGCCAUUGUGUAUAUGCAUGGUCUUCAUGUGUUGGUGCAGUGAGCCAUUGUGUAUAUGCACUGUCUGCAUGUGUUGGUGCAGUGAGCCAGUGUGUAUAUGCAUGGUCUUCAUGUGUUGGUGCAGUGAGCCAUUGUGUAUAUGCACUGUCUGCAUGUGUUGGUGCAGUGAGCCAGUGUGUAUAUGCAUGGUCUUCAUGUGUUGGUGCAGUGAGCCAUUGUGUAUAUGCACUGUCUGCAUGUGUUGGUGCAGUGAGCCAGUGCGUAUAUGCAUUGUCUACAUGUGUUGGUGCAGUGAGCCAGUGUGUAUAUGCACUGUCUUCAUGUGUUGGUGCAGUGAGCCAGUGUGUAUAUGCACUGUCUUCAUGUGUUGGUGCAGUGAGCCAGUGUGUAUAUGCAUUGUCUUCAUGUGUUUUGCAGUGAGCCAGUGUGUAUAUGCAUGGUCUUCAUGUGUUGUGCAGUGAGCCAGUGUGUAUAUGCAUUGUCUGCAUAUGUUGGUGCAGUGAGCCAGUGUGUAUAUGCACUGUCUUCAUGUGUUGGUGCAGUGAGCCAGUGUGUAUAUGCAUGGUCUUCAUGUGUUGUGCAGUGAGCCAGUGUGUAUAUGCAUUGUCUGCAUAUGUUGGUGCAGUGAGCGAGUGUGUAUAUGCACUGUCUACAUGUGUUGUGCAGUGAGCCAGUGUGUAUAUGCACUGUCUUCAUGUGUUGGUGCAGUGAGCCAGUGUGUAUAUGCACUGUCUACAUGUGUUGUGCAGUGAGCCAGUGUGUAUAUGCACUGUCUUCAUGUGUUGGUGCAGUGAGCCAGUGUGUAUAUGCAUUGUCUGCAUAUGUUGUGCAAUGCAGGGCUUCAUGUGUUCAGGUAUGAGAAUCUCCCACGGAUCAUCAAGGGUCGCCUUUGUGAUACAUGCCAUUGCAGUAUACGCAUAAAUCAAAAGGUCCAUUUUCAGUGUUUUCUGAAAACAUUCUCAUUCCUGUGUGUUGUUGCAAGUUGAUGGGGACAGUCCUCACUUGGAGUAGCUACUUAACAGAUAGUGACAUAUUCUCUCACCGAUCCUCUUCCUGAUGUUGACCUACUUUGUUGAUAAUAAAGUCUGUGCAAAUGUU
This 3362-nucleotide long non-coding RNA is filed under the name Haliotis rufescens (red abalone). Its description in RNAcentral is "uncharacterized LOC125378261". Lineage: Eukaryota; Metazoa; Mollusca; Gastropoda; Lepetellida; Haliotidae. The record is from RNAcentral.